Molecule: transfer-messenger RNA, 358 nt
Filed under: Deltaproteobacteria bacterium
Lineage: Bacteria; Pseudomonadati; Myxococcota; Myxococcia
Rfam family: transfer-messenger RNA
About the family: Bacterial tmRNA, also known as 10Sa RNA or SsrA, is named for its dual tRNA and mRNA-like properties. Its role is to liberate the mRNA from a stalled ribosome.
Source: RNAcentral
GGGGGCGACCUGGGUUCGACGGGGACAGUUGAACCUUGUGGGCGCGUGCCGGGCGCCGCGAGCCCGUAUCUGGCGGAAAACAAACAAACGGCAAUUCUAACGAAUUCGCUCUCGCGGCUUAAUUGACCGCGACGUCUGACCAUCCGCUCCUGCCGGGAUGGACCCAGGCGUCAUUUAGGUGGGACGGUUCAUGACAGGGAAAGCCCCGCGCCAGUCAUGCGCUGUAUAAAAGAAGGGACUAGCCGAGAAACAGGGUGUCCAUGCUCGGUUUCGAGGCGAAAUUAAACCAUGGAAUACGCACGUAGGGCCCCUGGGCGAAGGUCUUCGGACGCGGGUUCGAUUCCCGCCGCCUCCACCA